AUUUGUUUCUUUUCUGCUUUUUGUUUUCUUCAGUUCGGAAAAAGGACCAGCGACCCACCGAUCUCUCUCUCUCUCUUCACUACACCUUCACCCAUGCGAGCUGCCCCCACUUCUUCUGGUUUUGUUCCUUUCAUUUGGAGUUUCCUCCGAAGUGCUGCCCCACGCCACAAGGCCGCGCCUCCACUCCACGCCUGCAAAACCCCAUCGAAGCAACAUCCGUUUGAAGCAGCAUCCGUCCGAAGCUGCUCCAUCUUCGUUUUCUCCCUCUGCCGUCUCACGCUGCAGCUGCCGCCGUGUCUUGCUCACGAGGUUGACUCCCCCAGCAGCGAUCGGUUCUCCUCUGCCGCCGAAGCUACCGUUCAGCGCUGCAUCUUCAUUCGGUCAACCUCUCCACCGAAUCUACUGCUUCUUCAACCACUGCCGAAUCAACGAGCGAAGCAGCCCACCUCGACGCCGUUCUCUUUUUCGUUGCCAGUUCCCUCGAUUUCGCCCUGCAACAGCCCACGUAAUCCACCGAAGCAGCAGCUCCUUUGGGCUUUCUUGUUCAGCCCAUGAGGCCCAGCGAAAUUUCAAAGCCCAGCAGUCCAGCUUUGAAGCCCGUGUCAGCUUUGUCCAUUUAAGUUGCAGCCCAAGAAGCCAGCCCAUUAAUUCAGCAUUUCAGCCCAUCUUGGGCCCGCAAAGCAAGCCCAACCCAGCUGCAACCCAAGCUCGAGAUCAAGCCCAUCAAUUUGUUGUGGGCUUGUAAGGCCUUUUAGGCCCGGUCCAAGCUCGUGGUGUCGUCGCGAGCCCAAAUUCAACCACCGUCGCGUCACUGUCGCGGUGUUCCGAUCUUCACUUUUCACAAGGUCGGCGAUACAUAGUCCUGGGAUAUUGCAUUCUAAAAUUGAUCAAGUAGAAGGAUGUGUGCGUGCUCGAGGAUCGGGGCGUGACAAGGUAAACCCGGGGUGACGCUAGCAGAGAACCCACUACCUUGACAACACACUUAAGACACCAAGCGCCUCCACUAGGUUUCAAACCCCUCACCUUUGGGGAAGGAUCGAUGGAGCCCUUAUCCAGCGGAGCCACCAUGACCGAUGGUACCACAGGUAAAGUUUUCAAUUGAUUUAUUUAGGAAAAUCAUUUUCCCUGGUACGUAAAACCAAAUAUCUCAGUUCGUUGCACAAAUUCUUAACAUUCAAACAUACUAUCUAGGGGUGAGCACUAGUCCAAUUCCUAGUUCCUAAAAUUUGGAAUCAUUGAUAAUCGGUUCGGUUCUAGGUGCAGACUAAAUCACUCAAACCUGAUUGAUUAUUUUUCUUUCCCUGAUGGUUCUAUAUUUUAGAUGGAGAUUUGAAUUUGAAAGAUUUAUUGACAUAAACCAAUUUCUCCUUUACAAUUAUGCAUCUAGAAAUUGUUGAGUACAAUUAGUUGCUUCCUCUUUAAAGGGACACAUGCCUUUUUGGAGAAGCAACAAAGAGAAGGAAAAACGUUGGUUUCAACAUGGUUUAAGAUGUAAAGUCUAUUAAAGAGCAGCCGUUUUAUUGGAUUGACGAUAUCAAUACAUGUUUAUAUCAUGAUCAAUGCAUGUUUAUAUCGUUAUAAAAAGGACUCACAAGUGCAAGAAUCACCCUUUGAAAGCCAUUUAACUUAAAAGAGCAUAUAGAAUUCCUAGGUCAAACAUAUCUUUUAAUGAGACUUAAUAUUGAAUUAGUAUUUCUUUUGUUUGAUGACCAAUGGAAAAAUUUUAUUUUAUGUUUACAAUUUUAUUAUUCUACGCAAUUAGACUCUCUAUUUCUCUCGAGAAAUUCAAUCCUUGGUGAGUGGUUCUUUUGAAGCCCAGUCGUAAUGUCUUCAACUUUUUUUCUUUUUUGUUUCAUUUCUCUCCACUGUGGUUAUUUAGGAAAUUUUCUACUCUAUUUAUAUUUAUAUUCGUAUAUAUCAAGGUAUACUUUGAGUGGGCAAAGUUGAUUAUGGUAGAUUGAUCUGUCAUGCAAUUGCGCGUGGAUUACAGUUUUCUCUUACAAAGUGUGAUCAAUAAUUAUUACACUCAAAUAUGAUAUAUUUAGUGACCAAAGUUGAUUGUGGGCGGACUGAUCAAGAAAUAAAUCACGAUAACUUUGUAUUCCCUUCUGUGUUCUAAAUGGCAUAAAAUGAUUCUCCCAUCAUAUUAGGUUUCAAUUUCUUGAAACUCACUAUUUCCAUAAUAAAUUGGCUGUGAACACAGCCAAAAUGUCUAAAGACAUUAUAGGAUAGGGGUGUUAAAUGGACCGGUUAUAAUAUAUCAUUUCUCUAUUAAGAAAAUAAUAAGACAUAUAUAGAAUAAAUAUUUUAUUUAUUAUUACACAUUGUGAAAUGAUGAAAUUAUCCAACCAAUUAGUGAUAAAUAUAUCACACGCUCGCCCUUCUCCAAAGAUGCUCAACCAUCGACCGACCACCCGAAGCAAAUCCAUGCCCACGCCAUCAUCUCCGGCCUCUCUCGCUUCCCGUUCGCCGCCACAUGAACUACGCGGCGCGCGUUUUCUCUUGUGUUUCCACUCGCCCACCACCAUUGUCUUCGACUUGGGAGUCGGGAUGAUGGGUUUCUUUGGGGUACUUCGAACGUGGGAAGGCUGGUCUCUGUCUAUGCCCGCCAUAUGCCCGCACUUCCACUGCAUUGGUCGGGACAUGGCGCUCGCUCUUCCUUAGCUUGGCCAACUUCACCGCCGGGCGAUGAAGUUCGGGCCAGAUUGUGAUGCAUACGUGGUGGGUUCUCUGAUAAGCAUGUACCGGAAGCAUUGGGCUGCGACUGUUGCUAGCCGCCCGUUUGAUCAGAGUUCAAUGCGGGACGUGGUUUGCUGGACGAGCCUUAUCACUGGGUAUUGUAGCAUUGGCCUCAUGUAGGAAGCUCGAGGGCUGUUCGAUUCAGUGCCAGGGAAAAAUGAUGUUUCCUACAGUGCCUUGAUCUCUGGCUACGUUAGGAACGAGUGGUUAAAUUAAGUGGAUCUCUUUAGGCUAGCGUACUUUAGCACCGUGCUAUUGUGCCGUGCUAUUGUGGAAGCCUCUAAAGAAGGAAAAUGGGUCCAUAAGUACAUAGAUGAGAGUGGCAUUGUUUA
Eucalyptus grandis is the source of this 3071-nucleotide long non-coding RNA. RefSeq lists it as uncharacterized. Lineage: Eukaryota; Viridiplantae; Streptophyta; Magnoliopsida; Myrtales; Myrtaceae. The record is from RefSeq and is a predicted model, not a curated record. The transcript has 2 exons.